This is a long non-coding RNA of Salvia splendens (bonfire salvia), 152 nucleotides long. RefSeq lists it as uncharacterized. The transcript is spliced from 3 exons. NCBI's taxonomy places the organism in Eukaryota, Viridiplantae, Streptophyta, Magnoliopsida, Lamiales, Lamiaceae. The record is from RefSeq and is a predicted model, not a curated record.
AGUUGUCUCAAACAGUUGGUCAUAUGAUUGCUUGGCCACGUUCUUUGGUGACGCCUAUUGAGUACUGAUGAUUUCUCGAUUUACAUUUGGAUUCCAGGCUGCAGAUUGUUCACAUGAUAGAAGAAGCACAAGACAAUCUAUGUACCUACACA